ACGCUCGACACCUACGGGAGGCAGCAGUGGGGAAUAUUGCACAAUGGGGGAAACCCUGAUGCAGCAACGCCGCGUGAGUGAAGAAGUAUUUCGGUAUGUAAAGCUCUAUCAGCAGGGAAGAUAAUGACGGUACCUGACUAAGAAGCUCCGGCUAAAUACGUGCCCGCAGCCGCAGUAAUCUGAGCGGGCUGGCAAGGC
This 198-nucleotide ribosomal RNA is filed under the name uncultured bacterium. RNAcentral's name for it is "partial 16S ribosomal RNA". It matches the Rfam family "Bacterial small subunit ribosomal RNA", at positions 328 to 539 of the family's 1533-position model. The record is from RNAcentral.